UGACCACCAAAUCAUCUACCGUCGGGUGCUAUCACCACCGCGAAAUCGAGAUUUAGAGAGCGGAGAUCCGUCGUUGGCGAGCUUGCAAAUCGCGGUUACCUAGGUCUUGGCGUGGUGUUCUGGUGCGGUGGCAUGGUGCCUAGGAGCCUCGACUGCCAUCAAUUCCGCCGCUGGACCGUUGAAGCUUGGGCGAUUGCUCGCCGGACUUGGGAAUUGUCGUUGUGCCGUGCUGCGUCGGGGACCGAGCUCAUCUCAAUCAAAUCACCGGUAAGCGCUGAUCCCCUAUGUUCACCUAAGACUCCGUUAGGUGUAGGUCCGCGCUGGUCAUGUAUAGGUCGUCAGUGGGCCGGUUGUGUGUGCGCCGACUAUGGCGUCAUCGCGAGCGCAGGGUGCGCCAUGGGUAGGCCUGCUCACGCUAAUCUAAUGCAGGUGGGCGGUCAACCUGUUUGCGAUGGUUGGAGCAUCAUUUGUGCGUAGUCGGAUUUGGGCCGUUUUCUCCGUCAUCGUCGACGACGCCGUCGGGGUGAUGCCUCGCACCGCCGUGCUAGUAGCUGAGGAGGAAGAGGGAGUCCUGACCAUGGAUCAUCUUGUGGAGGGCAGGGAUUAAUGGGUGGCGUGGUGCAUUGCGGGCCGUUGAUCCCCCUCUGGGUGGCUCAGAUUAGAAGGAUAGGUACCCCUCGCCACAUUCAGUCAACACCGGUGAUCUCGAUCCAACAGGUUGAAAUAGAUCUAGGGUAGAUAUUAUCCCCACCGAUGAUCUCUGUAACACCCUGAAAUCCUAUUCUAGGAUUUAGUAUAACUUUUCAAAUGAUCUAAACCAAGAUGUCUUUUAAUAGAAUAUUCUUACCUUUAAAAAAUAUUUUUUUCCUAUAACAAAUAAAUGGUAAUGUUAAUCUUUGAGUGUUCAAUUUUUUUGAAACUCAGAAAAUAAGUAAUGAAUUAAACCUUCAUUAAUUAUUGGUCUUUUUAUGAAUCGUGUAUUAUAGAAGCAAUUAUUUAAAUAAAAAAAAGUAAGUAAAUAAAACAUGUACUUACAUCACGUCGGGUCUUUGAGUUGUGCAUUUGGUGUGAAUUUAAAUAUUAAAACCCAGUUGAAUUUGAAAACUUUUAGUACGACACUGAACACAGGAAAUAAAGAAAAAUAGGAAUCUCUACUAACUAUUUUAAGGGCUCAGUGUAGACCGCCCCCGCCCCCGAAAACCACGCGCCCGCCUCCGCCUGCCCGUACGCCGGAAACCGCGGAGGCUGCACCGCGAACGCCGCGAACCGCCCAACAAACGCCCGCACGCCGCAAUCCCGCCACGGCCUAUGCAGCCGCCGCGACCUCCGCGAACCCCCCACGCAGCAAUCCCGCCGCGCCUACUAAAGCUGCAACCUCUGCGAAAGCCGCGAACGCCGCAAUCCCGCCGCGGCCUCUGCAGCCGCCGUGACCUCCGCGAACCGCCCGCCCGACCAUGCCAACAUCCUCAUCCGGUAGCCACCAACCAUAUCCCAUCGAAGGUUAUGCAUACCCCUGCCAUCUCCUCUUUCCCCUACAUUCCCACGCCCCCGUCGCUGGAGAGGAAAGCUUGCCCCUCUGUCGGAGAGGAAGUAAUUUUGUUGCGGUCGCCGGGGGCCUCGACCAAGGUAUGCCAUGCGUUCUCCUUCCAGAUUUGUUAAUCCUCCUCCCUAGAGCAGAUAAAUUCAUCUCAACAUAACAAUGGGGACGGGACCUUCUUUUGGAAAUAUACUUGGCUAGGGGAAAUUCCUUUAGAAAUUAAAUACCCAAGGUUCUAAUAUCUCUGCAAGGACAAGGAUAUUCUUGUCAUAGGGCUUCCUGAAAAUCUGAAAUGGUGUUGCGUCAUAUAUUUAAUUGUCUGACCAAAAAAACUUUGUGGUUCAUCCCUGGGAAGCAUACCUUGUUGUCUAUUUUCUCGCGUGUAGUAGCAGGAUGACUUGAUGCCAUGUCUUGAUUUGAGGGACUCUUAGCUUCCUUUCAUUGCUGGUUUGUACAUCUGACCGAUAUGAAAAUGGUGUAAGAGUGUUGGCGUGUGAGAAAUGUGUUUGAUCCUUGCAAAAUACAUGAUGGAUUCGAACGUGGUGGUACUUUAGAGAGUGGUUUUUUGUUUCUUAUUCUUCGAUACUGCAAUAUUCAGGAAUGGACACCAUUUACCCAACUAAUUAAUAAUAAAGCACCACAAUGCCACCAGGAUCACCGCCACUAGCCAUCUCAUGCAAGGUCAGAGAUUCAUGAUUUAGGUCAUAUAUCGUGAUAAGCUGCAACUUCUCAGAUAACCUUCGAAGAAUAUCUGCGUCAACACUCGCACUGCUGCUUGAAUUAUAGAGAGACAUCAGGUCAUUAAAAAGAUCAUCGUCACAUGAAUCCGAUCGUUCCUUAGCUCUUUUGAACUGAGUAUGCACCAAGUCAACCUGCAUAACAUUGAAGAUAUUAUGGUACACAAAAGAAGAAAAAACAUCAAAACAAUAGUAAUAUAAAAAACAAUAAUGAAAAUAGAAAUUUUGGAAUUUAGUAGUCUACCUGCUUGUUGGGACCAUGCUUCGUCGUCGAAGGUCCUGCAGAAAGAAACAGCUUCGGCUAAAGCUGCUUAUACGUGAUGCCGAAGCUACCACUCAUGAAGCUUCGGUGUUAUAACAUAUCCGAAGAUGAAGGAUCGAACCGACUUAAAGAUAGAAUGACCUUUUAGUUCAUAAGGGUCUGAGUCAUUGUUGUAAACUUUUAUAAGGGGCAUGAUUGUAAUUCCUUACAGACUGUGUCCUAUGCCUAUAAAUAGUGAACAAUAUUCCUUUACUGUUCAUGCAAUCCUGUAACUGCUAACGCAUUACUCUGGAAUUAUUGCUCUUUGUCAAGGCAAAGGUAUAAAUGUAAUCAAACAUCAUGUUUUAAUAUCUCAGUUUAUAUUGUAAAAUGAGUAAAUGAUGUUAUCCAUUCUUAAUAUUCUUUAACGUUUUAUACUUCAUAUUUUAUUUCGCAUUAUUUUACUUCUGACUAUGAAGGUAAGACCUUCGUAGUUCAUCAUCUAUGACCUUCGUCUGAAGCUCAUUAAAUCCUCAGGGAAAUAAUGCUUCAGCGGACGAAGGGCUUUGAUAUUUAACAUUUUAUGUUGCCUUGUUCUUAAUUCAUAGCAUUUGAGAACAAGUCCCCAACAUUGGCGCCCACCUCCGGUGAACUCACUUCCACUUUUUUGAGCUGAUAGCUUCGGCAAAGAAUCAAGAUGGAACUGCUUCGGCUCCGAAGCUGAUUCUCCCGAUAACAGGCGGUUCAUGCUCAGAGCCGACCAACAAGAAACAGAAGGAGGCACAGAGAAGAGUACAACACGUAGGGGUACAAGGACACUUCAUCAAAUCAAGAUGGUCUCACAUCCCAAUUACCUUUUCUCAAGAGGAUCUUCAGCUCAAGGAUUACCCACACAAUGAUGCUAUAAUUAUCUCUUGUGUGAUCAAAGGAUUUCUGGUCCAUAAUGUUUUGGUUGAUACAGGCAGUGCAGCUGAUAUCAUAUUUGCUAAGGCCUUCAGACAGAUGCAAGAGCCCGAAGACAAGAUCCAUGAUGCCACACAUCCCCUUUGUGGCUUCGGAGGAAGGCAAAUUGUAGCACUCGGAAAAAUCACAAUGCCAGUAACCUUCGGAUUUAUCAACAACACAAGGACUGAACAAGUUGUGUUCGAUAUUGUUGACAUGGAAUACGCUUACAAUGCAAUCAUUGGUCGUGGUACUCUCAAUGCCUUCGAAGCAAUUCUUCAUCCAGCAUAUCUUUGCAUGAAGAUACCUUCGGACCAAGGACACAUUGCCGUUCAUGGAAGUCAGGAAGCUGCCAGAAGGGCCGAAGGAAACUGGACAGAAUCAAAAGCAAUCCAUAACAUAGAUGGAGCUGAAGCUUGUGAGCAGUACAAGUUUAGAAGGGAGAAAGCUGCUUCGGCCGAUGAGCCGAAGCCCAUGCUCUUAUGUGAGGACAUAGCAGAGCAGAAGGUGCUAUUGGGAUCCCAACUGUCCGAAAAACAGGAGAAAACCUUGAUAAGGUUUCUGUUCAACAACAAAGAUGUUUUUGCAUGGUCAGCUAAUGAUCUUUACGGAGUCAACAGGGAUGUUAUUGAACACUCGCUCAAUGUUGAUCCAUCCUUUAGACCCAGAAAGCAGAGGCUUCGGAAGAUGUCUGAUGACAAGGUCGAAGGUGCUCGGAAUGAAGUGAAAAGACUCCUCAGUGCCGGAGUUAUCAGAGAGGUAAAAUACCCAGAAUGGCUGGCUAACACUGUUAUGGUAAAAAAGGCCAAUGGUAAAUGGAGAAUGUGUAUUGAUUUUACUGAUCUCAACAAGGCCUGUCCGAAGGACGAGUUUUCAUUGCCAAGGAUAGAUUCUCUAGUUGAUGCAGCAGCUUCAUCAGAGCUUAUGAGUCUGCUGGAUUGUUAUUCAGGCUAUCAUCAAAUUUGGAUGAAGAAGGAGGAUGAGCCAAAAACCAGCUUCAUAACCCCUAGUGGAACAUAUUGUUACCUUCGGAUGCCUGAGGGGCUCAAGAAUGCUGGAGGAAGCUUCAGCAGAAUGACAACGAAUGUUCUUCAUUCUCAGAUAGGCAGAAAUGUGCUAACUUAUGUUGAUGAUAUCAUUGUAAAAAGCACGAAGCAAGAUAAUCACAUUGCUGAUCUGCAGGAGACCUUCGCUAAUUUUAGACAGGCCGGUUUAAAGUUGAAUCCAGAAAAAUGUGUCUUUGGAGUGAAGAAAGGGAAAUUUCUUGGCUGCCUAGUUUCAACAAAAGGGAUUGAGGCUAAUCCAAAUAAAAUCGAAGCUAUCCUUCGAAUGGAACCACCAAGUACAAAGAAGGGGGCUCAAAGAUUGACAGGAAGACUGGCAUCUCUCAACAGAUUUAUAUCUAGAUCAGCAGAGAGAAAUUUACCAUUUUUCGAAGUGCUGAAGUGAGCCGAAGUUUUUCAAUGGGGACCAGUCCAGCAGAGAGCCUUCGAAGAGCUGAAGCAAUAUUUGAUAGACCUAACAACACUAACUCCACCAACGCCAGGGGCUCCUCUGUUGUUAUAUGUGGCAGCUUCGCACUCAGCGGUAAGUGCAGCACUUGUCCAGGAGAAGCUUGAAGGCCAAGUCAAAAAGCAAGCCCCAAUAUACUUUGUAUCCGAAGUUCUUAGUUUAUCAAAGAAAAAUUAUACAGAAUUGGAGAAGGUGCUGUAUGCUGUUUUGAUGGCCUCCAGGAAGCUUCGGCACUAUUUUCAAGCAUACAAUAUAGUUGUUCUUUCUUCACAACCGUUGAAGGAUAUUAUGAGAAAUAGAGAAGCUACUGGAAGGGUUGGAAAAUGGGCUGCGGAACUCAAUGAGUUUUGUAUUGAUUAUGUACAUAGAUCUUCGAUUCAGUCCCAAGCAUUGGCAGACUUCAUUGCUGACUGGACGCCAGGGGCUCAGGAAGAAGAAACAAGUAAAGAUGCCGAUGUUUGGACAGUAUUUUGCGAUGGAUCUUGGGGAACCUUCGGAGCAGGAGCAACUGCUGUGUUGGUCGCACCUUCCAAAGUUAAAACUUGUUAUGCAACAAGACUUGAUUUCAGUUGCACAAAUAACAUUACUGAGUACGAAGCUUUGCUCUUGGGUCUUCGGAAGUUAAAGGCGAUGGGAAUCAGAAGGGCGAUUCUUAAAACUGAUUCCCAGGUUAUUUCUGGUCAUAUUGACAAAAGUUAUAAAGCAAGAGAUCCGAAGCUUGAAAAAUAUUUAGACACGGUCUGAAGGAUUGAGGCUUCCUUUGAAGGGUUUUCUGUUAAAAAUAUUCCUCGUGGAGAAAAUGAAUAUGCUGAUUUAUUGGCUAAGUCAGCAGCACAGGGGCUGCCCUUACCUUCGGAAGUAUUUUUCGAAACAAUAAAAGCACCUUCGGUUGAACUUUUUGAAAGAGCAGUCCUCAACAUAUCCCCUGUCUAUAGUGAAGACUAGAGAACUGAGAUCAUCUAUUUCCUUCAGGGUAACUUUCUUUCAGAUGACGAAGCUUAUAACAGGAGGAUAGAGGCAAGAGCUCGACCAUAUGUUAUAAUAGAAGGUGAACUAUACAAGCGUGGGGUCUGUUCUCCGUUACUCAAGUGUUUAUCCAGAGCCGAAGGUAUAUAAUUGAUGAAGGAAAUACACGCAGGCCUGUGUGGAUCUCACAUUGGAUCUAGGCCUUUGCUUGGAAAAGUUUUUCGUCAAGGAUUUUAUUGGCCAAAGGCAGCUUCGGAUGCAGCGGAAUUAGUCCAAAAGUGCGAAGGUUGUCAAAAUGUGCAAGAGAUAAAAACAAACUUCAUCUUUAACUCAGUUAAUACAACCCACUUGGCUGUUGCAAAGGUGGGGCCUUGAUUUGUUAGGUCUGUUACCACCAGCACAAGGGAACUUAAGAUAUGUUGUAGUGGCAGUGGAAUAUUUUUCUAAAUGGAUUAAGGCAAAGCCUUUAGCCACAAUAACUUCGGUCACUAUUCAAAAGUUUUUCUGGCAAAAUAUUGUUUGUCGCUUCGGAGUGCCGAAGGAUAUUACUGUGGAUAAUGGGACGCAGUUUGAUUCCGAAGCUUUUAGAGAAUUUUGCGAUCAAAUUGGCACGAAGAUCCAUUUCGCAUCAGUUCGACAUCCGGAGUCAAAUGGACUUGUUGAAAGAGCUAAUGGCAUCAUAAUGACAGGAAUAAUGAAGUUAAUCUUCAAUCAGCCCAGGGGAAAGUGGCCAGACGAAUUAAUCAAAGUGGUGUGGAGCCACAACACAACAAUAUCAAGAUCAACAGGCUUUACACCAUUCAAACUAUUGUUUGGUGACGAAGCAAUAACUCCGGAAGAAGCCAAAGAAGGAUCAAUAAGAAUAGUAGCUUCGGCAGAAGACGAAGCUGAAGCUGAUUACUCUGUGGAAAAAGAUGCUAUAGAGGGGAUCAGGCUUCAAGCUGUGGAAAACAUCAACAAAUACCAAGCUGAAACAAUAAAAUGGCGUGAUAGAAAGGUUAGGCUAAAAAACAUUGAACCAGGACAUUUGGUGCUUCGAAGAGUAGCCAACCCAGAGACAGUAGGCAAAUCACAGCUGAAGUGGGAAGGACCUUUUCUGGUAGUAUCUUCGUCAAGACCCGGUUCCUACAGAUUGAAGGAUAUGGACGGCAACGAAAUUCCUAGAUCAUGGAAUGCGGACGAGCUUCGGCGAUAUUAUGUUUAGCUUGAUGUAGUUUUUUCUAUUCUUUCUUGUGGCACCCUUUUCCUUUCCAAAGGGGGAGAAAGGUUUUUAAUGGGGCCACAACAUGUAAUUUUUCUUUUCCUUAUUUAAAUUUUAUAAGAGCGAUAUCCCCCAAAGAUGUAAAUGUAAAAGCUGAGAACGCACCAUCGAGUGCAAAGGAAAGAGAAAAGAAAACAGGGAGAAGCUCAAAAGUCGUUCCUAAGGGAAUGCAGAGCUUACAGCGAAAAAUGAACGCUGAUUCCGCCGAAAGUAAAAGGCGAAGAAGCUCCUAAGGGAGGCUUACAGCGAAAAAUAAACGCUGAUUCCACCGAAAGUAAAAGGCGAAGAAGCUCCUAAGGGAGGCUUACAGCGAAAAGUCAGCGCUGAUACACCAAAAAGUAAACGGUGAAGCCAAAAAAUAAACGACAAAAAGAUUUGAGUCAUUCCCAAGGGAAUGAAGGCUAUGAUUAUGGUUUUGAAUAUACAUUCGGAUAUUCAUUUGCACGAUACAUUACAUCAUGACAUUUGCAUUCAUAAACAUUCAUUUAGACAUAUAUAUGAUCAUUAUCAUCAUACCACACAAAAAAGGCAGAUGCUUCGGCUAUGAGGAAAAAACUUCGGAGAAAGAGGAAAUUUUCAUGCUUCGUUGUGUACGAAAAGAAGGGAAGGUGUUUUUCGCCUUCGACUCAAAAGUGAAAUUUCGUUCACAGCAAAGCAGAUCGUACACGGAUAAAGGAGAAAAGAUAUAUUACAAGGUAUGCACAAAUUUACAUAAGUUUUUUCUACAAUUAUAUUACAAAGAUUUCUCCAGAAUUUUUUUGUAGAAAAGUCUUUUACAGCAACUGGCUUCAGCCCGUCAUUCUUCAGCUUCAUCAUCCUGUACAUAUUGAAAAAGAAUGAGAAAGGUGCAAAUUUCAAGGAGAAGGUAAAAGUAACAAGUAUAAGUUUCUCACCGGCUUAAGGUGGCUCCGAGCUUCGUCACCAGCCAUUUUUCGCCCGCCGUUUACCUAAAUCUGGGUCAUAAAUCUGUUUCCUAUGCUUCAGGCUAGGCUUGGGAUGUCAACCGACAAGCUGAAGUUUGGCCUAUUUACAAUCUUCCCAUGCGUGCAGCCGGCCUUCAGGAAAGUGGUAGCCGUGCCUCGAGAAGCUAACAGGGCGCAGAAAUCAGCAUGCCCAACAAUAACUUCGUCAAGUGCAUCAACCUCGCCUUCAAUGUAUUCCUAGGUGCUGGGCAGGUUUUCAGCCGAAGGUGUAAACUUAUCAGAGCUGGCUCCAAUUGAGUGAAACACAUCCUUCAGCCGCUGCACACAUCGGUUGUCGAAAUUUAAGCAUUUCUCCUGAAGCUCCUUCAAUGAUUGUUGCAAAUUUGAAUUCUUCUCGAUCUCGGUCUUGAGACUUGUUUCGAGGUUCUUCUUUUCCUGCUCAGAUUUUUCUGACUUUUUGAGUAAUUCACUGUUUAAUCUGUCAUUUUCGGCUUGGACCUCAGCCAGUGAACCUUCCAUAGAAUGAAUAACGAAGUCUUUCUUUUCUAAGGCAGCUUCGUGUUCUUUAACUAUGAUUUCAAGGUCUUGAAUGACGAAGUCCUUUUUCUUCAGAGCAGCUUCGUAAUUUUCGACUUUGUCUUCUAGAUCUUUGAUGAUAGCUUUGUUUUUUUCCUCUUCAAGAUCUUGUUGCAUUCUCAGCACUUUACUUAGUAGUAUACUCUGCCAAAACAACCUUCAUAAAAAAACAACUUAAUUUUUUUUAAAAAGAUAAUAAUAAUAAAUUGAGAGUUUUUUACCUUGAAAUUAGCAUAGAGCAAGCUACCGACGAUAUGCUGUCGCUGGUACCUGCAGAGGUCUGCUUCUAUCUUCGGCAGGCCAACGCUUUUGGAGAAGGUCCUAACAACCUUGGCCUCGGUUCGAUUCCGAAGGCAUCUUAGCUUUCCUUCAUUUACCCCACCAAAUAGCAGAGACCCUGGUUUGUAUCCACAGGAUAUAGCAUAUUUCUUUAGCUCUUCUUUUUCAGCGUCUGUUAACUCUUGUCUAAGUAUAUCUUGAAAAUUAAAAUUUUCUUCUUCCAAAAUGUCUUCAAUCUGCUCUUUUCCUUUUUCAGUUGUCGUGUUCACCGCAACCACAACAACUUCUUCAGCCAUUCUCAAAAGUAUAUUGUCAAUAUCAUCAAGCGUGGUUUCCAGGUUAGGAUCUUCGGUGGUCCCGGUUUCGGCUCCGGUAGCUUCGGCCCCGGUGGCUUCGGCUCCGGUAGCUUCGGCUCCGGCGGUUUCGGCUCCAGUGGUUUCGGCUCCGGUGGUUUCGGCAACAACAAUUUUUGACGCCGAUAUCGGUGGCGGUGUCUGAUGAAUGACAUCUGCCACUUGGAUAAUUCUUCGUUUUUUCGGCUUUACGGGACUUUCUGCUGCCGAAGCUUCUUUGUCCUUCUGAAAAAACUUCGUCAGUUCUGGCGCCAGCGGACUUAGCUUGACAGGCAAAGGUUCAGUCAUUACCUUCAGAAUCUCUUCCACUUCGGCAGCAGAAGGUGUUGCAGGAGCUUCCUCCUCUCGGACCGAUGUCUUUGGUUUUGGAGAUGCAGGUUUUGGAGAUACAGCUUUUCUUUUCCUUGGAGCAGCUACCUUCGGCUCAGGGCUGAGUUUUUCAGAAAUUUCUUUUUCCUUUUUAGCCAAUUUGGUGCUUUCUUUGUCAAGGGCGCUGGCAAUUCUUUUUCUCUUUAAACCUUCGGCAUCUCCGCCCAGUUGCUCAUAAUCAGGAUAGUCAAAAUUCAAGGCAUCUAGCACCCGAUUCAAUCUUUGUUUCGGACGACUGCCGAAGGCUGCUGUCAUCAACUGAUCUUCUUUCUUAGAAUAAUUACCGAGGAUAUCGUUGCACAUAAUCUCGAUUGUGUCCAACCAUUCCUGGCAGGGUUUUUUAAAGUGUUUCUUAAACUUGUAGUAAUAAGGCAAUCGAACAAGUUCUCCCUUUUUCUUUUCUCCCUCCAGCUUCGGCAUCUCCCACUCCCUCAUUGUUGGGAACACUUUAAAAGCCAGAAAUUCCUGCACUAAGUCUCUAGUGCCAAUAUGUUCUGAAAUUACUCGAAAUUCACCCAAAGCAAUCUGGCUCGGGCUCCCCCUUAUCAUGUUGCAUUGGGGCCUCGUCUCUCCGAAGGUUAGCUCUAGCGGACUCUGGACCAAUUUAUCUUCAUCCUUAACAACUUUAACAUAAAACCAUUCAGACUUCCAUCCGACCGGCCAUUUGCUUCGGUAGCUUAUCACUGGAAACUUCGUAGUCUUGCGAUAAGCAAAGUUGUAGCAGCCAAAAUUCUCAUGUAGACCAUCUCCUCUGGCUUUAGUCUCGUAAUGUAAUUCAUGAACUCGGCAGAAACCCUCACCGAACGGUUCCACUCCCUGGCUACGAAGAGCCCAAAUGUAAACACUUAAUCUAACAAUAGCAUUGGGGGUCAGUUGAUGAAGGUAAAUCCCAAACUUCUUCAGUACAAUAGCAAUCAUCCCAUUUAGGGGGAACCUUAGGCCAGCUUUAAAGAAGCUUUUGAACACUACAACCUCAUUCUUUUCCGGCUUCGGAAUAGUUCCCUCUCCGCCAAAACGAACCAGCUCCUUUUUUGCUUCACUGAAGUAGCCCAGCUUCACCAUUUUUGGAAGAUCAGCUUCAGAGAUGGUGGACUUUCCAAAGUCCAAAUGACUAGGUUUACUUGGCAUCCCGCAGAUGUACUCAUCUUCGGAACCAACUUCUUCAACAUCAGCUUGUGUUGCUUCGGCAGCAGGUGUGUCCUCUGAUGAAACCAGCCCAGAGCGCCUCAUUGCUUCGGAAAUCGGAACAGUGUUAGCGGCUUCGGUCUCAUCUCCAUCACGCUCAACCCUAGCAGUGGAGCGUAUUCUGGCCAUUUGAUUUUAAAUUUUCUUGAAAAUUCCUUGGAAGUUAAUAACCUUUUUUCCGAAGCUCUUCUCGUGACGAAGCACAAUCCAAACUGGAGCUUCGUUUGAAUGCAAAAGUCAAGCUUCGGCUAUGGUUAAAUUUUUGGCAGCGAAACAGUGCAAUAGCAAUGAAUGCUGUGGUAACUUCACACCUACCUGUCUGUUUAUAUAGUGCUGCAGGU
RNAcentral lists this long non-coding RNA (11222 nucleotides) under Zea mays. RNAcentral's name for it is "long non-coding RNA (ZMAY_LNC005850)". The record is from RNAcentral. Lineage: Eukaryota; Viridiplantae; Streptophyta; Magnoliopsida; Poales; Poaceae.